GAAACCAAAAGGUUGAACCACCCUGC
This 26-nucleotide non-coding RNA is filed under the name Mus musculus (house mouse). Lineage: Eukaryota; Metazoa; Chordata; Mammalia; Rodentia; Muridae. The record is from RNAcentral.